Molecule: long non-coding RNA, 4405 nt
Filed under: Xyrichtys novacula (pearly razorfish)
Lineage: Eukaryota; Metazoa; Chordata; Actinopteri; Labriformes; Labridae
Source: RNAcentral
GCCAGAGAUAGAUGAUAAAAUAGCUGCUUGAAUUUUAAUGAUAAGCAAUUUACUGAGUUCAUCCAUCCAUUUUCUACCGCUUAUUCCCGUUCCCGGGGUCGCAGGGGGGCUGGAGCCUAUCCCAGCAUCUUCGGGCGAAGGCACCCUGGACAAGUCGCCAGUUCAUCACAGGGCUGACAUAUAGAGACGAACAACCAUCCAUGCUCACAUUCACACCUACGGGCAAUUUGAAAGUGGCCAGUUAACCUGACCCCACUUAGGCGUGUUUUUGGGAUGUGGGAGGAAACCGGAGUACCCAGAGUAAACCCACACAGACACAGGAAGAACAUGCAAACUCCACACAGAAAUGCCCUGACUCGGAUUCAAACUCAGAACCUUCUUGCUGUGAGGCGACAGUGCUAACCACUACACCACUGUGCCGCCCUUACUGAGUUUAAUUACAUCAAAAUAAUUAGAUGCAAAAAAAGAAAAUACUUACUUUUUUUUACUUAUAAACUCCACUGUGCCACCGACUUGACAUUUUCUUUUGCACACCAAUUCAUCAUGUUUGUGUUUUUCGGUUUCAGACCAGCAGUUGUCCACUGCUUUUUCACAGAGCACCCUGCGACCAAAUGAAGCUGUUAUUAAAGACAAAGUAAUUCUUCCUCAUGAUUUGGGAAGCACCGUGAAAUGGCAAAUACCGCUUAUGGAGUACUAUUCAAUUAAAGGUGAGUAUGGUUUGAUUUUAGACACUAUUUAACACUCUGAUUAAACCACACAAAUACUACACAUACUUAAUCCAUUUAAAUACAUAAAUAGAGAUCAUUACUUGGCUGAACUAUCAACAUGCUGUGAUAAACUCUCAAUUCUGACUGGUCAAAACCCACGAACAACAGCAAUUAUUCUGAAUGUCAAGAUGUGGUGCCGUGGACUACCUGAUCAAACGUAUCCAACCAAGCAGAUGGUAAUGGUUUCACCUCUUCCUGUUGACCAGGAGAUUUUAUUUCAAGAGAAAGUACCACAGUUAGCCUGUAUAGCCUCCCUUACUCUCUGUUUGUGUAGUUGGAUGCUUUGGAUUGAUUGACACCACAUAUGUUUUCCAGCAUCUGCUUUACACAUUCAAUCCAAACUAAGACAUUUCUUGAAUUUAACGAUCCAACAUGUUGUAAAGCCAAUUAUAACUGCGUCGUUUAAGAACUUAGCAGGGACUUGAUACAGACAAUCAAAAAUAGAUUUGUGAAUAGUGAGUGAAACACUAUGCUGUCAUUUAUGGCGCGUCAUCAGUCUGUUGCUAUCAUCAAGCUGUCAACGCAUUGUGAGUGGCUGCAGCUUCAAAUGAGAAUUAUUCAAAUUCCUCAAAGAGGAACCUUGAAUUCAAUCUGCUCAUUUUAUCUGAUCUGAUUUUGAACGUUAGACACUCUCAGCAUGGGUCAGUCCUGAGGAUGAAGACAUCCCUCGUGUUGCUGCAAGAAUUAAUUUCAAUCAUUCCAGACAUAGUGAGUUGUAAUAGUAUUCAUGCCCAUCAGGAGUGUCUGGAGCUGUAUUUAUGUAGUUACUGUACCUUGUAUUCCCUGUCUGGAAGCUGUUAAGUCUGUACGCUCAUACCUACUGCCAUCUGGGCUCUGCCAGGACUUUUCACCGUUUUACCUCUGAAUUAAGAGACUAUGUUGAAUCAUUUUUCCAUCCGCAGGGCUCAUGCUUAUCCUGAAGACACUAGAGGCUUUGUAUGUUCAUUUUUUCUUUUGCUACGGUCUACAUUUCUCAGCGAAAAAUAAGCCUCUGGAGAAGGUUUCAGUGUCUCACCUGGGAAUAACUCACUGUAACAAGAUUUGCUGACUUAAUGUACAAAUAACGCAGCUGCGAAAACAUUAGUACUAAAUGGUGUUGUCAGAUGGUUUAGAGUGAGCUAUAAUCUGUUGAAUGAUUUCAUUCAUAAUGCAAAAUCAGUUCACAUGGCUUAUUCAGAGAGCAGUGUGAUCAAAGGCCAACACAGAGAAGCUCUGAGUGAUUUUAAUUGCCAGAUAUACCUCUAGUUUCUUCCAGAGCGGUGAGUCAGACUGUUCGACAUUUUCCUGCUGUUCACAUUGAAGCAGAGUCUCCAUGGUAUGCUCAGCUCAUCACUGUCACUUUACAGGUUUAACCAUCUUUCACAGGCUGUAAGUAGAUCCCAUUGCACUGAGCUCAGUGAGUAUACUGGCAAAGAGAGGAGUUUUCCAUUCAAGGUGCUAAGAUAGUCCAUGGAGUCUGAUAGACAGGCCAUGGUGAAACUGCUUUACCAGAGGAUAGUGAUGGUUAUUUAUCCUCUUUGGCCAGUCAGGCUGGAGAGACCUCAAGAGAGUUGUGGUUUCUGAGAAGACUCCUUUGAGCUGUCCACAGAUGAGACCAACAGCAGACAGUCUGAUAAGUUUCAGAUAAACCUCCCAUUUUGAAAAUAGCACAUUUUUCCUCUCUCUCUUGCAACAACCAUCUUUUUUUCACCUCUAGCUAACAGACAGAUGAGACUUUUCUCAACAUUAAAAAGGGAAGUUGCAGAAACCUUCUCGUGGCAUUCUAGAAACUUUUAACAUUCUGUUCUGCGUGUACAGAACAUUUGGCAUUCAUGUAGACAUCUUAACUAAUGAACAGUCUUGUAAGUGUUAUUGAACUUAACCACUCGCAGUGGGAGCCUGGUCUGCUCUUUUUUAUGUCUCUCAGUGAUUGGUCUGUCUCACCACAAUGACUUAUUCAAUAGAGGUUAGUGCCAGUAAAGAGAGUCAAAAAUCCCCAAGAACAAACCCCAAGAAGCUGUAGGAAAGAAUUCUCUCUGUAAAACUUACAGGCAACUUGAUCACAGUUUGAUGCAAGGGAAAGUUUUGACACAUUCAUGAGAGUUCACUCAGUAAAUCUGUGGGAAUAUCCGUUUAAGAAGACAAUGAGAUUUCCAGGUUUUACUGGACUCCAGCUAAAUAAAGGAAUACUGGAGCUAACUGAGUAAAUGUUGGGCAACCGCACUGUCAAAAUUUUGGCCACCACUGUGGGGUUUGGACCACAUGUGAGAGUCUGUGUGUUAUUGGAUUAACACAACCUCGUCCAUAGUCUGAUUUUUUAAUUCUUCAGUCAGUAAAAAGGGGUUGGGAAAAUCAUGACCAAGUAUUGUUGUAAUGAAUGUAAGACCGACUAAGACAGGAUUAGAAACAAAGAUUCAAGUGCAACCAGGCUGUAUUGUGAGAUAUGAAUAAAUAAGUCAGGUUUUAAACUUCUAUCAGCAUGUGUAUUUGCUAGAUAUAUAUGUAUGGAUGUUGUUUUUUGGUAUAGUUAAAAAUCAGUGUGUCAUCUGCAAAGUGAUAGUAAAGAUGUUUCAUUUUUUCCACACUCUUUGCCAAAUGGAUUUUGUAGAUGUUGAGAAGAACAGUCUAGCAACAGUCAGAGAAAUUCAAUCCAGUUUAGCACAAAAAAAAGUAACCGUUUUGUGCAUUGCCUUUCAAACUGCAUGGCAUUACCUGUGUCCAAUUGGAUUUAAAGCACUUGCUCUUACUGGUCUUGUUUCUUCUUGUCUCGACCUUUGCUUGUGUUGUUCUUUUAUGUACAUCGCUUUAGAUAAAGUGUCUUCUAAAUAAUAUUUUAACAUUGUAGCACUGGGCCAAAAUGCCCACCCGAGUUUUCCAGUCUGUCUAGAAAUAUAGUGGAUGACCAUGUCCAAUGCAGAUCCAGUAUACUUAAGCUAAAUCCUUUCCAUUGUCUGUGUUCAAGCUGAUCUCAGCCAUAACCUUGGCAAGAACAACUCAAGUGCUAUAGUGUACUCCCAACAGGGUGAGACGAUACAUUAUCCUUUGUUUACAAUCAGGUGAUAACUGCAGCUCUCAGGAGCUGGAAAAAUAGCCUUAUAGAUAUAAAAACAAAGUCCAUGGAGUCAAAAAAAAAAAAAACUUCCAUAAAGAUUUCAGUAAAUGUUUUAAAUAAUCUGAUUCCAGAUUUCUCUAAUACUUUCAUAAGUAAUUUAUCUGGUUUUAAGGUGAUGCAAAGGCUUUACAUAACCUCAACAUGACGAGGAGUCCCUGACAGCUUGUUAUAUUCUGAAUUUAGUCAGCAAUAAAUGAGGUGAAUUCACUGCAUACCAAAGGGGAUAAAGGUUCAAGGGCUUCUGACAUAGGAGAGGCGGGGUGAGCCUGUCAACAGAAGCAAAUAAAGUAAAUGAUUUAUCUUUGUUUUUAGUAAGACUAGCAAAUAAGACACUUUAGUCUAUUCAACACAGAAUCGUCGAAAAUCAAAUGUCAUAAAUCACCUGAAUAUGUUUUUCUCACCCACAGUCAUGGCACCUCAAUCAUGAUGCUGUUUUUCUUUUACUCUCACAGGAUGGACCGAAUGGUUGUUUUUAGAGGAAAUAAAUUAACGUCAGCCCUUAUGAGCUGGGUGCAUUUGGAUCGCUCUACAUCAUUUUAAAAGCAGG